This 904-nucleotide ribosomal RNA is filed under the name Saccharomycopsis crataegensis. Its description in RNAcentral is "LSU rRNA". It matches the Rfam family "Eukaryotic large subunit ribosomal RNA", at positions 38 to 960 of the family's 3401-position model. Lineage: Eukaryota; Fungi; Ascomycota; Saccharomycetes; Ascoideales; Saccharomycopsidaceae. The record is from RNAcentral.
GCAUAUCAAUAAGUGGAGGAAAAGAAACCAACAGGGAUUGCCUCAGUAACGGCGAGUGAAGCGGCAAAAGCUCAAAUUUGAAAUCUAACACUUUCAGUGUUCGAGUUGUAAUUUGAAGAAAGUUUCUCUGAGUAGUCCUUUAUCUAUGUUCCUUGGAACAGGACGUCAUAGAGGGUGAGAAUCCCGUAUGAUUUUGGAUACUAUUCUUUGUGAGAUUCUUUCGAAGAGUCGAGUUGUUUGGGAAUGCAGCUCUAAGUGGGUGGUAAAUUCCAUCUAAAGCUAAAUAUUGGCGAGAGACCGAUAGCGAACAAGUACAGUGAUGGAAAGAUGAAAAGAACUCUGAAGAGAAGWGAAAAAGUACGUGAAAUUGCUGAAAGGGAAGGGCUUUAGGUCAGAACUUGGUGUUUAAUGAUUAUCUUCUCUUUUUGAGUUGUGCACUCGUUUUUCACUGGGCCAAUAUCAGUUUUUGUGGUAGAGCACCUAUUGGAAUGUAGCUUUUCUUCGGAUGAGUGUUAUAGCCUUUAGACGAUCUAUUUACGGAGACUGAGGACUGCGCGUUAUGCUAGGAUAUUGGCGUAAUGACCUUAAGCCGCCCGUCUUGAAACACGGACCAAGGAGUCUAACGUCUAUGCGAGUGUUUGGGUGUAAAACCCGUACGCGAAAUGAAAGUGAACGUAGAUUGGGGCCUCUUUUGAGGUGCACAAUCGACCGAUCCUGAUGUUUUCAGAUGGAUUUGAGUAAGAGCAUAGCUGUUGGGACCCGAAAGAUGGUGAACUAUGCCUGAAUAGGGUGAAGCCAGAGGAAACUCUGGUGGAAGCUCGUAGCGGUUCUGACGUGCAAAUCGAUCGUCGAAUUUGGGUAUAGGGGCGAAAGACUAAUCGAACCAUCUAGUAGCUGGUUCCUG